RNAcentral lists this ribosomal RNA (302 nucleotides) under uncultured bacterium. RNAcentral describes it as "partial 16S ribosomal RNA". It matches the Rfam family "Archaeal small subunit ribosomal RNA", at positions 458 to 760 of the family's 1478-position model. The record is from RNAcentral.
GCAGUAGCCGCGGUAACACCAGCACCUCGAGUGGUCAGGAGGUUUAUUGGGCCUAAAGCAUCCGUAGCCGGUUGCAUAAGUUUUCGGUUAAAUCUAUGCGCUUAACGUAUAGGCCGCCGAAAAUACUGUGCAGCUAGGGAGUGGGAGAGGUACACGGUACUCGAUAGGAAGGGGUAAAAUCCUUUGAUCUAUUGAUGACCACCUGUGGCGAAGGCGGUGUACCAGAACACGUUCGACGGUGAGGGAUGAAAGCUGGGGGAGCAAACCGGAUUAGAUACCCCUGUAGUCCCUGUCUCUUAUAC